CCUGCUGAUAGAAGCAUUGCAAGUAUGGCUGCUCUGUCACAUACGCUUCAAGAGGUGGCAGAGAGGACAGAGGCUAUGUCUACUCUCAGUGUUCUGACAUAUGAACAUCUGGAUGAUUUGUAGCCUAACAUU
This is a small nucleolar RNA of Arvicanthis niloticus (Nile rat), 132 nucleotides long. RefSeq annotates it as small nucleolar RNA SNORA17. NCBI's taxonomy places the organism in Eukaryota, Metazoa, Chordata, Mammalia, Rodentia, Muridae. The record is from RefSeq and is a predicted model, not a curated record.